UUGAUGAUUAAUGAAGAGUGCACUAUUGCUGGUACAUUGCACCAUAUGCUGUUACUACCCUCUACUAUAAAACCAGCACAAACUGCCUCCAUUUUACUGUUCAAAGAAAUAACAUUAUUAAUUAUGAGAUCAUUGAGAUGAAUACAAUAAAUUUUUAUGCAAAUGCAAGAAAAUUAACCACCUGUACUCAAUCAGGCACCCCUAAAACCCCCCAAAAUUUCCUCAAG
RNAcentral lists this long non-coding RNA (227 nucleotides) under Panax ginseng (ginseng). RNAcentral's name for it is "long non-coding RNA (PGIN_LNC005304)". The record is from RNAcentral. Lineage: Eukaryota; Viridiplantae; Streptophyta; Magnoliopsida; Apiales; Araliaceae.